Molecule: long non-coding RNA, 3421 nt
Organism: Phyllostomus discolor (pale spear-nosed bat)
Lineage: Eukaryota; Metazoa; Chordata; Mammalia; Chiroptera; Phyllostomidae
Exons: 2
Source: RefSeq, a predicted model, not a curated record
UAUCUGCCUUUUACAACCUUUCCCAGACAAAAUAAGUUAGCACUUUAAAAAUAUUCCUGACUCAAAGAAACAAGGCUUUUGUGUACCCAGGAUUACAUGGAUAGCAGCUAUGAUUUUAGAAAACAAAACUGCUUACACAAAUGGAUUUCAAUAUAUUAAAUGCUAAUGUUAAUAAUGAUUAUAUUUUCUUAUUCAAGAAAAUAAUUUUUGUAAUAUGCAUACCACAGUAUAAAAUUAUUAGAAUAUUUUUCAAUUUAAACAUGUGCCCUUUAAAAAAGUCAACUGAUUAAAAAUGAUCGGAUAUCCUUGCCUUUUACUCACAAAAUGAUGGGUAUCCAUAGAAAGAAAAUUAGAAUUUAAAAGUUUCAGCUCUUUAUCUUAAGCUGUCUAGCCUUUGAUGUUAUAUUUGCUCAGGCAACUCUUGCCCUCAUUAAGUCAGGGGCAGCAUAUAUUGGCAAGGGAAGAAGAAAAAAGCAAAGAAGAAUGAAAGAACUAAGUUGGAAGUAGGCUAGUGGCCACUGAAGACUGUUUUUCACUUUCAAAACAUUUAAAAGUUAAGUCUGUUCAUUUUUAGCUACUUGACAAAUAUUUUCCAAGAGAAUAAGAACUCUCAUCAAUAUCACUGUGAGGAAGAAUAUGAGGCCAAAGACCUUGCUUUAUUUUACACAAUAGAACAUUUAUUCAGUUACAUGGAAAUGGCCAAGCCAGGGUGAAAACCGUAUCUGUAUAUACUCAAAGUAGAAUCUACAUAUCAAACCAGAAAACUGAAAUGAUUAUCCUUGAGUCACAAUUUUGAGAAAAACAGAAUCUAGUGGGCAACAUCUGAUUAGUUCCAGAAGGGACACUGUCACUCGGUCUUUUUGACUUCACACCUUCCACUCACCCACUGCCACCUCACUAUAUACAUGCAUUCAGAAGCCUUUUUAGACUUUUUUCCCCCAUAAUUGCUUGCACCUCAUGAAAUUUAAAUGCUAUAGCUCUUCUACAUAUGUGUUAUAUGUUGUCAUUGUCUGGAGAGCAACAAUUACUGUAACAUGUAUGAUUUUUUUUGCCCUUCCUUAACUAUUUCCACUCCCACAGGUGGUAAUGUCACUCGCAUUGACGGUGUAUGAAUAAGACAAGUUUCUAAAACAAUGAAGAGAUGCAUGUUACUGAAAACGGGUGCACAAAGUUUGCUCUUUGCAGAGAAAGUAGAUGCUGUUUGUAUCAGGUUACUCACUGAAUUGUUUCAGUGCACAUCUUCAAAAAGUAAAUAAAGGCAGCCUCUCUGGUCCAUGGACCUCUCUGGUCCAUGUGAUCACUGCUCUGUCCUCCAGAUUUUGUUCCCAGAAUGCUCUCUUUAGGAGCUACCAGGAAAGUCUAGCUCCAGAAACGUUGGGAUUGACUAACAAAUAUACUAACAGUAGGUUCUUUACAACUUUGCAAGCAAAAGAACAUAUUUGACUAUUUUUAUUUGUUUUGCUAAUAUUUAUUUGGCCUAAUUUAUAGGAGAUCCCAAAUACACAUAGGAUCUAAAAGUUUCCUAAUUAAGGGAGAGGGAGAAGAAGGAGAGGAAAAGGGCAGAGGAUAGAGAGAGGCGGGGGGAGAAAGAAAGGGAGAGACUGAUUCCCAUUAAUUCACAUAGCUUUCAGAAUAUUCUUGCUUUAGUAAUCAAAAUGCCUCUUAAAAGUCAAUAAAUGGAUUUUUUGAAAUGUUCCAUGGUUGUAAAUAUUUGUUUGUUCAACAUGUAAUAAUUAAGUUAUGUCAUGCUACCAUUUUAAAGUCAUAAUUGUCAUAAAAUAAGUUGGUCUUAAACAUAUUUUUAAGUUCACAGCAUUUUACAUUAUAAUAAAGAAAAAGGAAAGAAAAUAAAAUAAAAAAUGUGAAAUGAAUUGUUAAACACAUAAUUAAUAUUUUAUUAAAUUAUACAAACAUAUUAAAGUAAUCCAAAAUAUCUGAAUGUUUUCUUACUUGUGCAAAGGUGCUAUUAAGGCUGACUACAGUGGUAGGCUGACUACAGUGGUAGACAGAAGAAACUGUAAAAAUAAUUCAGUAUAACAACUACAUAAUACAUUUACUACCCACCUGAUCUGUUUGUUAUCAAGUAAACACGAAAUUUUAGCUCAUGGCCCAUAUAUAACAAAGCAAAAUGUACAUAUGUUAAAAUAAUUGAAAAGGGGUGGCUUAUCUCAGUUCUCAAACUUCUAUUUUUGUUGUCUCAUCCUUUCAUCCUAAGAUGGCCAUCUCAGCACAUCUCAGAGAGAAACCUCUGAAUGGUGGUGGUGUUGUGUGUGCUAGUGAUUCUUGAACACCUAUCAAUUGUGUUUACUAAAAGUAAUCCAUAAAACUGGUUCUGGGUUGUUUCUUCCAAACUAUAAAAUUCCUGUAUAAAAACUGAAAGUUGACUUAUAUAUUUAAGGUUAACAGUGUAAGCUUUUUAAUUGUCAAUAGGUUUUCUAAAUGUAUUUUAAAAGCAAGAUAGGUAUCAUAUUAUAGGCAUUGCUAUAAUAUAUUUAUGAACUGUUCAUGCUUUAAAAGUUAUACAAUUAUUAUUUUAUAUUUGUGAUUUACACUAUGGGUACCACUUACUUUAGUAACUUAAUUAGAUGAAAAGGUUUUCAUGAAAGGUAAAUUAGGGGCAAAUCCUUUCUAUAUAAUAGAAUUCUUGAAAAUAGUACAUUGUUCAAUUGUACUAAAAGUUACUCAUUUUACAAAUUCAAAAUUAAAGUUUCCAAAUGAUAUUUACUAAACAACCUGAGUUAUACAGGUAUUCCCCACUUUUUAAAAUUUCUAGUUAUGCCACUCUGCUUUUAUGAAAGACCUGCAUUAGUACCUAUUUUUGCAAACUGAAUCAGAAUAGGAUUCUAUAUUUUACAAAAAGAGGCAAAAAAGUGAAAACAGUGUCCAGUGUUUGCUGUGCAGUGAGCUGUUAAAGAGGCAGCAUGCACCUUGAGCAAUGAGAGUGGCACCAUGGAGACCCUUCUCCAGGAACUACACUCAGCAUCUCAGCAUCAAACUGCCAAAGCUUUGAUUUUUGUCUGUGAGCACCUGUGCUUACUAUUGAUUUCUUUUGUGCAUCCGUUAGCAAGAUGUGUCCUCAGGUAUCAGAAAAACUUAAAAGAGAUCUAAGGGUACUAUGUUUAGUGUGAUAAUGGGAGGUAACAGAAUAUUUGGUAUACUUUGGUGGGUUAUUUUUUGUGUCUGAAAAUGUUCCACAAUUUUCCCAUGCAUGUUAAUGAUAACCAAUAAUUUGCUUUAUGGCAUUUCAGUUAUAAAGUUUCAUAGGAACACUCAACAUUCAGAUAUCAGGGAAAUCUGAGCCUGUACUACCUCAUAUUUUUAAAACUACUUGAAUCAACUACCUGGAUCAUUUUUAAGUUAUGAAAUAAAAGACAGAGAGAUUCAUUCAAAUUGCACAUUCAAAGAAACACAUUUCUUAUAU